CAGAACUCAAUCCAUUUCUCUUGCACAGCUACCAGAAGACUUACAACCUUCAGACACGUUGCUCAUGUGACAUCUACAUCCUC
Etheostoma cragini (Arkansas darter) is the source of this 83-nucleotide long non-coding RNA. RefSeq lists it as uncharacterized. The record is from RefSeq and is a predicted model, not a curated record. The transcript is spliced from 3 exons. Lineage: Eukaryota; Metazoa; Chordata; Actinopteri; Perciformes; Percidae.